RNAcentral lists this small nuclear RNA (21 nucleotides) under Arabidopsis thaliana (thale cress). RNAcentral's name for it is "snRNA_11688". The record is from RNAcentral. Lineage: Eukaryota; Viridiplantae; Streptophyta; Magnoliopsida; Brassicales; Brassicaceae.
AAAUAUAAACUGACUAAACUU